This 851-nucleotide long non-coding RNA is filed under the name Sorghum bicolor (sorghum). Its description in RNAcentral is "long non-coding RNA (SBIC_LNC012521)". The record is from RNAcentral. Lineage: Eukaryota; Viridiplantae; Streptophyta; Magnoliopsida; Poales; Poaceae.
GUGCAAGAAAGCAGAAAACAAGUAUGGGAGAGAUCCCUCGACAUGCCAAACACACUCUGCACAUUUUACACACACUCGUAUAUAUCUUAGAUUAUGCAGAAUAUUGCCUCUGACAUGAUAAAUUAAAAAGAUUAAAAUGUUACUAAUCAUGAUAUCUCCUGGAAACUACAAAUUAUUGAAAAAUCAUUUUUUAACCCUGUGCUACUUAAGUCAUUGUGGAAUGUGAGAUGGUAUAGUAUGAGUUUCUUAUUCUUGAUAUCAUUGUUGCUUGGAGAAUUUAUUCAAAAUUCUAGCUACCAUCCUCAGUGUUAUAUGCCUGAUAAAACUGAAAAUAUUAAUUAUGAUUAUAAAAGCUAUCUACUCUGUAUUGAGUUUGUUCAAAAUGAGUUAGACCCUUGUUGAGAGAUUUAUCAUGCUCCUAAGAUCAAGACAUUAUUCAGAAAGAUUCACUCUUCCGAAGUAUUAUUGCAUUAGAGGCACGGGCUAUGCAAAAAUAAAGAUAUUUCGAGGAAAUAAAAAGGAGCAAGUGCUCGAUAACCUCGCAGAAAAAAAUGGACAAGCAGUAGAAUUAGGGGUACCUCGGUAUCCACUUAAAAAAAAGAAAGAGAGAAAAAAGAAAAUGAUAGCCCAUGGUCCCUCUAAUAAGCAAUAUGCUAGCAAGAGUUGACAAAGAUUUUAAUUUCCAAAGUCUUUGAUCUAAGAGUAUGACAUUCUUCUCCUCGGAUCCCGUUUUGAUCAGGCAAUAAAUGCAAAGUAAGUGUGCUUGAGAAUUUUCUUUUCAAAGUAUGAGGAUAAAAAGUAUGCUAACUUUCUUUUCAAAAAUAUACAAAAACUCCAAGUGACAGGUGUUG